Molecule: ribosomal RNA, 786 nt
Filed under: uncultured bacterium
Lineage: Bacteria
Description: bacterial SSU rRNA
Rfam family: Bacterial small subunit ribosomal RNA
Source: RNAcentral
AGAGUUUGAUCAUGGCUCAGGACGAACGCUGGCGGCGUGCCUAACACAUGCAAGUGGAGCGACGAACCAGGGCUUGCCCUGGGGCAGAGCCGCGAACGGGUGAGUAACACGUGGGUCACCUGCCUCGAUGACUGGACAACCCGAGGAAACUCGGGCUAAUACCGGAUGUGCCCGCAAGGGAAAGGAAGCUUCGGCCUCCGCAUCGAGAUGGGCCCGCGGCCCAUUAGCUUGUUGGUGAGGUAAAGGCUCACCAAGGCUCCGAUGGGUAGCUGGUCUGAGAGGACGAUCAGCCACACUGGGACUGAGACACGGCCCAGACUCCUACGGGAGGCAGCAGUGGGGAAUCUUGCGCAAUGCGCGAAAGCGUGACGCAGCAACGCCGCGUGGGGGAAGAAGGCUUUCGGGUUGUAAACCCCUUUCAGUUGGGACGAAGCUUCGCCGGUGAAUAGCCGGCCGGAGUGACGGUACCUUCACAAGAAGCACCGGCUAACUACGUGCCAGCAGCCGCGGUAAUACGUAGGGUGCAAGCGUUGUCCGGAAUUAUUGGGCGUAAAGAGCGUGUAGGCGGCCCGAUUAGUCCGCUGUGAAAGUCCAGGGCUCAACCCUGGAAUGCCGGUGGAUACUGUCGGGCUAGAGUCCGGAAGGGGCGAGUGGAAUUCCUGGUGUAGCGGUGAAAUGCGCAGAUAUCAGGAGGAACACCAAUGGCGAAGGCAGCUCGCUGGGACGUGACUGACGCUGAGACGCGAAAGCGUGGGGAGCAAACAGGAUUAGAUACCCCGGUAGUCC